This 240-nucleotide unclassified non-coding RNA is filed under the name soil metagenome. RNAcentral's name for it is "partial contains 5.8S ribosomal RNA, internal transcribed spacer 2, and large subunit ribosomal RNA". The record is from RNAcentral.
AACAUCGCGCACCUGCGGGAACCUGCGGAAGGAUCAUUAAUGAUUGGUGGCUGUUGCUGACUAGUGUUUCUAGUAUGUGCACGCCACACCUUCAAUCCCACUUACACCUGUGCACCUUCUGUAAUAGAUCUAUGUGGAUACGGAGAUAUGAAGGUUUGCGCUCUCGUACACUGUUGAAGCAGUCUACUACGUUUUUUUACACACACACAAUAGUCAUUGAAUGUAUUUUUUAUUCUUAUG